UACAGAGGAUGCAAGCGUUAUCCGGAAUGAUUGGGCGUAAAGCGUCUGUAGGUGGCUUUUUAAGUCCGCCGUCAAAUCCCAGGGCUCAACUCUGGACAGGCGGUGGAAACUACCAAGCUGGAGUACGGUAGGGGCAGAGGGAAUUUCCGGUGGAGCGGUGAAAUGCGUAGAGAUCGGAAAGAACACCAGCGGCGAAGGCAAUCUGCUGGGCCGACACUGACACUGAGAGACGAAAGCUAGGGGAGCGAAUGGG
RNAcentral lists this ribosomal RNA (253 nucleotides) under uncultured bacterium. Its description in RNAcentral is "partial 16S ribosomal RNA". It matches the Rfam family "Bacterial small subunit ribosomal RNA", at positions 524 to 776 of the family's 1533-position model. The record is from RNAcentral.